AAGGGAGACCUAAUUCAGGUAGGAGACGAAAAAAAAGUAGUCCCUACCAAGAAUCAAUCCCAAAAGGUCGGAGCGAGGCGAAAUUGGCUUUCAAACUAGGUUCUGGGUUCACACAAGACCUGAAUCAGGAACAAGGGCUAUUAGCUCAGGUGGUUAGAGCGCACCCCUGAUAAGGGUGAGGUCCCUGGUUCGAGUCCAGGAUGGCCCACCUGUACAGGUGGCAAAAAGAAAGAAAAGAAGCGAGGAAUCAGCACCUUAUCUUACUUAUAUAGUAAGAGAGAAUGCUGGCUCUGAGUACAGAGUCCAGAGGAACCUUGAAAACUGCAUAGAGCUAGGUGAAAAAGCCAAAAAAGAAGACCACAA
RNAcentral lists this transfer RNA (363 nucleotides) under uncultured Microcystis sp. Its description in RNAcentral is "partial miscellaneous RNA". The stretch from base 135 to 208 matches the Rfam family "tRNA". Lineage: Bacteria; Bacillati; Cyanobacteriota; Cyanophyceae; Chroococcales; Microcystaceae. The record is from RNAcentral.